RNAcentral lists this ribosomal RNA (253 nucleotides) under uncultured bacterium. RNAcentral describes it as "partial 16S ribosomal RNA". It matches the Rfam family "Bacterial small subunit ribosomal RNA", at positions 524 to 776 of the family's 1533-position model. The record is from RNAcentral.
UACGUAGGGGGCGAACGUUGUCCGGAUUUAUUGGGCGUAAAGAGCGUGUAGGCGGCUUGGUAGGUCCGCUGUGAAAACUCGAGGCUCAACCUCGAGAUGUCGGCGGAAACCACUUGGCUAGAGUCCGGAAGAGGAGAGUGGAAUUCCUGGUGUAGCGGUGAAAUGCGCAGAUAUCAGGAAGAACACCUAUGGCGAAGGCAGCUCUCUGGGACGGUACUGACGCUGAGACGCGAAAGCGUGGGGAGCGAACAGG